UCCAGAGGUGGCAAUCGUUGUUCGGAAUUACUGGGCGUAAAGGGCGCGUAGGCGGCCUGUUAAGUCCCGUGUGAAAUCCCUCGGCUCAACCGAGGAACUGCACGGGAAACUGGCGGGCUUGAGUUCGGGAGAGGGAAGCGGAAUUCCGGGUGUAGCGGUGAAAUGCGUAGAUAUCCGGAGGAACACCGGUGGCGAAGGCGGCUUCCUGGACCGACACUGACGCUGAGGCGCGAAAGCUAGGGGAGAAAACUGG
RNAcentral lists this ribosomal RNA (253 nucleotides) under uncultured bacterium. RNAcentral describes it as "partial 16S ribosomal RNA". It matches the Rfam family "Bacterial small subunit ribosomal RNA", at positions 524 to 776 of the family's 1533-position model. The record is from RNAcentral.